This 254-nucleotide ribosomal RNA is filed under the name uncultured bacterium. RNAcentral describes it as "partial 16S ribosomal RNA". It matches the Rfam family "Bacterial small subunit ribosomal RNA", at positions 524 to 776 of the family's 1533-position model. The record is from RNAcentral.
GACAGAGGUGCCGAGCGUUAGGCGGAAUCACUGGGCUUAAAGCGUGUGUAGGCGGGUCGUUAAGUGUCUUGUGAAAUCCCCCCGGCUCAACCGGGGAAUGGCUGGGCAUACUGGCGAUCUUGAGCGAUCUAGGGGCAGAUGGAACAAGUGGUGGAGCGGUGAAAUGCGUAGAUAUCACUUGGAACGCCAAAGGUGAAGACAGUCUGCUGGGGAUCUGCUGACGCUGAGACACGAAAGCCAGGGGAGCGAACGGG